AACAGGAUUAGAUACCCUGGUAGUCCACGCCGUAAACGAUGGAUACUAGCUGUUCGGUAGCAAUACUGAGUGGCUAAGCGAAAGUGAUAAGUAUCCCACCUGGGGAGUACGAACGCAAGUUUGAAACUCAAAGGAAUUGACGGGGGCCCGCACAAGCGGUGGAGCAUGUGGUUUAAUUCGAUGAUACGCGAGGAACCUUACCAGGGCUUAAAUGUAGUGGGACAGGCUUGGAAACAGGCCCUUCUUCGGACUCAUUACAAGGUGCUGCAUGGUUGUCGUCAGCUCGUGCCGUGAGGUGUCAGGUUAAGUCCUAUAACGAGCGCAACCCCUGUUGUUAGUUGCCAGCGAGUAAUGUCGGGAACUCUAACAAGACUGCCGGUGCAAACCGUGAGGAAGGUGGGGAUGACGUCAAAUCAUCACGGCCCUUACGUCCUGGGCUACACACGUGCUACAAUGGCCGGUACAGAGAGCAGCCACUGGGCGACCAGGAGCGAAUCUAUAAAGCCGGUCACAGUUCGGAUUGGAGUCUGCAACCCGACUCCAUGAAGCUGGAAUCGCUAGUAAUCGGAUAUCAGCCAUGAUCCGGUGAAUACGUUCCCGGGCCUUGUACACACCGCCCGUCAAGCCAUGGAAGCUGGGGGUACCUGAAGUCGGUGACCGCAAGGAGCUGCCUAGGGUAAAACUGGUAACUGGGGCUAAGUCGUAACAAGGUAACC
Molecule: ribosomal RNA, 716 nt
Filed under: uncultured bacterium
Lineage: Bacteria
Description: bacterial SSU rRNA
Rfam family: Bacterial small subunit ribosomal RNA
Source: RNAcentral